Molecule: ribosomal RNA, 239 nt
Filed under: uncultured Lactobacillus sp.
Lineage: Bacteria; Bacillati; Bacillota; Bacilli; Lactobacillales; Lactobacillaceae
Description: partial 16S ribosomal RNA
Rfam family: Bacterial small subunit ribosomal RNA
Source: RNAcentral
CCGUAGCCCAAGAGAUCGGGAUAACACCUGGAAACAGAUGCUAAUACCGGAUAACAACAGAUGAUGCCUAUCAACUGUUUAAAAGAUGGUUCUGCUAUCACUCUUGGAUGGACCUGCGGUGCAUUAGCUAGUUGGUAAGGUAACGGCUUACCAAGGCGAUGAUGCAUAGCCGAGUUGAGAGACUGAUCGGCCACAAUGGAACUGAGACACGGUCCAUACUCCUACGGGAGGCAGCAGUA